RNAcentral lists this ribosomal RNA (449 nucleotides) under uncultured bacterium. RNAcentral's name for it is "partial 16S ribosomal RNA". It matches the Rfam family "Bacterial small subunit ribosomal RNA", at positions 354 to 794 of the family's 1533-position model. The record is from RNAcentral.
GUGGGGAAUAUUGGACAAUGGGGGGAACCCUGAUCCAGCCAUGCCGCGUGUGUGAAGAAGGCCUUUUGGUUGUAAAGCACUUUAAGCGAGGAGGAGGCUACCGAGAUUAAUACUCUUGGAUAGUGGACGUUACUCGCAGAAUAAGCACCGGCUAACUCUGUGCCAGCAGCCGCGGUAAUACAGAGAGUGCAAGCGUUAAUCGGAUUUACUGGGCGUAAAGCGCGCGUAGGUGGCCAAUUAAGUCAAAUGUGAAAUCCCCGAGCUUAACUUGGGAAUUGCAUUCGAUACUGGUUGGCUAGAGUAUGGGAGAGGAUGGUAGAAUUCCAGGUGUAGCGGUGAAAUGCGUAGAGAUCUGGAGGAAUACCGAUGGCGAAGGCAGCCAUCUGGCCUAAUACUGACACUGAGGUGCGAAAGCAUGGGGAGCAAACAGGAUUAGAAACCCUUGUUCC